Molecule: long non-coding RNA, 3101 nt
Filed under: Nicotiana tabacum (common tobacco)
Lineage: Eukaryota; Viridiplantae; Streptophyta; Magnoliopsida; Solanales; Solanaceae
Description: long non-coding RNA (NTAB_LNC010682)
Source: RNAcentral
AGCUCCACCAUUUAUUCUAAAUAGAAUAGAGUACUGCUCUCUAGCUAAGACUCCAGAGACUGCCGAAACACAACUGACAGGCAGGUACUAAAACUCUUAAGAAAACUAUUAACUCUUGGCAAUACCGCAAUAGCAUGGUAAUGAUACAAAUGGCAAAGAAAUUGAUGGGUUAUAAAAACCUGAACUUAACUAAGAAAAGGGAGUUCUCAAUGUUGUAAUAAUCAGCAAUGAAUUUUAACCAUGUUGUGACCAUACUCUCUCAGUUGUGCUGCAUCCAUGUGCUUCAAUUCACCCUCCCUAACUAUGAAAAGAAAACCCAAAAGAUUAUACAUAAAAGCACAUUCGGCAAAUGUAAACUUUAAAGCAAUGAACAUACAUGCAAAGUGUAAUGCUUUUGAAGUGAUACAUUUUAACAUCAAACAAAGGCAAUUAAUAACACAUUAAAAGCGAAGCAUUUUGACAUCAAAGUAACCACAAUUUUAUUGAGUACUAUACCAUCCAUAACUCAGAGUUUGUUGAAGGCUACUCAUUUUUUACUUUUGACAAACCAAAGAAAAAAGCAUAUUGAUGAGCUACAACAAGGCCACUCAUUUUUCAUCAUUCAUGACAACACUAAAUCAAUGGAAAAGUAUGAGUUUGUUGAAGUCGUAAACUAUACAGUAGUACUUAUUCUCGUUAUGGUACUAGACAUAGAGUUUGUCUUGGAUUUAAUUGUACCUGGUUGAACAGGAUAAGUUUUAUGGCAAAGGAACGUUCAACUUAUACGUAAAAGCACACUAAAUAAACUUUUUCUUUCCAUAGCUAUACCUACUAUUACAAAUAAUUUUCAACUAGUAAGCUUUCUCAGAAGUCAUAACCUUCCAGAGGAAAGCAGCCUUAGAAUUAAAACUGCACUUGAGCUUGUAGGAAACAUAUUGACAAAGUUCUACCUCAUUAUUUAUUCCCUUGACUAACAUGAAAAUCCAACAGCCAUAUUUUAUUAUACUGAAAAUAAAAUAAAUGCUUAGGAGCUCAAACAGGGACAAACAUAAAUCUCACGCGACUGAAAAAAUGAAGUAAAUAUUUUUUUUUAUAAGAAGAGAGUAGUCUCCUAAUAAAACUAAGGACUACAACAGUUGUACUACAACAACUAUUACUAUUACGCCUCAAUUUUCAAGCUAGUGUGGUUAGAUAUAUGAAUUCUCACUAACCAUUUCGACUAUCAAAGAUAAAUAUAGAAUAUAAAUCCUUGCCAGGCAGAAUAUAAAGUACAAAGCUCCCACCCAAUUGCAAAAAUUAGAAUAUAGUUCCUGUAACUUCUUGCAUUUUAUUAAUCACUACGAGAAGUUGAAGUAUGAAGUAUGUCCCAACUACUACAAAUUUCUAAUAACAUGAGGUGAGUAAGGAUAAUAAUAUUGGAAAAAUGGCAGCAUAAGGUAACAACUAGUAUGGAAAGCUGGUCUCCUUUGGAAGCCUUCGCCGGAAGUUCCAGAAUGUUGUCUGUGAAUUUCUAUAACAAAGGAAAAGUCGGUCGAUGGUGUGAAAAUACUUCCUGAUGUCGAAUUCCAAAAACCAGCGAGAGGUUUGCUGUCUACUUCGCGAGCCUUCACUGCCCCGUUCUGUAACUUCCCUUCUUUCGUCCGUCCACGAGGCUGUAAAAAGAGAGAAAGGGGCGGCUAUCUAGCGGGAGUCGUUUCGGUUGUAUGCCACGAGGUAAGGGGCGCACAAACAAAGAAUGUCGUUGUGUGGGGAUGCGAUUCGCCAAGCUGGGGCAAAGAAAGCCGUCCGACCCUACCGAAGUACCAAAGGCUUUCGAGGCUUACACCUCCCUAUUAUAGGAGGGGCAAGUAUAUAUAGUCUUUCCCUAACCUUUCCCCCUAUUAAACCCAAUGGACUUGUUUUGUAGCAAAAAGAUGCAAGCACCUAUUUAUUGGGAACCCGAAGUUAUUGGUCGUGCAUUGGGUAUCUUAAUAGGAAAUGAAGCACUAUGCAAUAGUCAUAGCAACAUCUACAAUUUAUAAUCAUGACUUUUAUUCUUUAAUUUUUUUAUUUUGGUUGAUGAAUAUUGUCAUAGUUCAAUUUAUUCAACCAGCCUAAAGCUCAAAAGUCAAACUUUCAGUUGGUGUGGAAAAUGCCUCUUACUUGAGAGGAUCAGUUGAGUAACAGAGGAAGCUUACAUAAGACCUUGUUAAUAAAAAAAGAGAAUUAUCAAACAUAUGAUGUCACCAAUUAUAUAUAAAGAAAAGUUAAUUUAGAGAGGUGAGGUUUACCUCAUACAUAGACUAUUGCAUCUCCAAUCAUGUAGCUUCAAAUUUCUGCUAUACAUAGGCUUAUUUUAGUCCUUUUAUUUGCUUGCAGAGUUCAAUGGGAGAAUAAGUGUAUUUCAUCAAACAAUUGGCCUGCACUAUGCACAUAAGAAAAUACAGUAAAAAUAAUCUCACAAGUCACAUAUCAACAAUGAUUAUAUUUGUCUGUACAUAAGAAUAAGAUUAAAACAACAGAAAGAAUAUAAAAUUAUAAUGGUAAGAAUCAAAACAGGGAUUUGUUAUACCUUGUAGAGUUGUAGAAUAGUGAAGCAAAGAGCACUAAGUCUAUUGAUGACUUCACAAUGGUAAACUAUUGCUGACUUCACAAUGGUAAAAUAUUAAGUGGGAUCUGCAGCAUAUCAAUAAAAAACGCAAGGAAACAAAACCUGGACGAGUUAUGCUCAAUCAAUUCUUGGAAAAUAAACCCAGUGAAUAUUUUUCCACCUUUAAUUUCCCACUAGCAAAAUUAGGGUUUAACUGACGAAGUCUAUGGGCAGCGACAGAGAGAGAGAGAGAGAGAGAGUAGCGAGAGAUGAGUUGUAAUACCUGGGUUCUGGGGAUGGUGGCCUGCGAUAGGGAGACAGAGCGACAACGGUUGGGCAGCAGCGAUGAGAGCAGAGAAAUAUGAAAAAUGAGGUUGAGCAGCAACUAUUAUUUUAUGAAUUUUUACAGAGCAAAAAAAUGAAGGAAUAUCAAAAAGAAAAAGGAAUGGAGGGAAUUGGUCAUAGUUGGAUUAAGAAGAUCGCGGGAAACAUAAAGAUUUAAAAUUUUGAUUGGCUUUUAGUGGGGUUCUUUUACAACCCCUAUACAUAAACC